UGGAAUAGAAGAAGGAGGGAAGAUGCUAUAGGCUCAAAAUCUUCCCUUUGUGUAAGGUGUUGAAGAAAAUUCAUAAGAAGGAAUUUCCAAUAAAUAUGACUAAGUCCUGCAAGAGAUAGAGACAACCUUUGGUAAGUUCUGGGAACCAGUGGCUUGCAAAAAACGUUUUGGUGACAUGAGAACUCAGCAAGUCAGAGUAUGAGAACUGAGACCAGGCGCCUGAGAAAGAAACAUCGAUGUCUGGAAGGAAGCAGGGCCUCAGGAAGGAUACAGGGAGUCUGGGACUUGCAAAGUGCAUUGUGUCUUAGAACUGCUGACAAAUCACUAGAAAUGUUGGCCCUGACUGUGCUAAUUUACAGCUUCCGACUGCAUGAUUAUUAAUAAGAAUUCCAGUAUGAAGGACCAGCCACAGCUGGGUUUCACAGGGAAUGGUAA
Molecule: long non-coding RNA, 435 nt
Organism: Oxyura jamaicensis (ruddy duck)
Lineage: Eukaryota; Metazoa; Chordata; Aves; Anseriformes; Anatidae
Exons: 3
Source: RefSeq, a predicted model, not a curated record